This 485-nucleotide ribosomal RNA is filed under the name uncultured Sphingobacteriales bacterium. Its description in RNAcentral is "bacterial SSU rRNA". It matches the Rfam family "Bacterial small subunit ribosomal RNA", at positions 891 to 1382 of the family's 1533-position model. Lineage: Bacteria; Pseudomonadati; Bacteroidota; Sphingobacteriia; Sphingobacteriales. The record is from RNAcentral.
GCUCAAGAACUCAAAGGAUUGACGGGGCCGCACAAGCGGUGGAGCAUGUGGUUUAAUUCGAUGAUACGCGAGGAACCUUACCUGGGCUCAAAUGUAUGUUGACGUAUUCUGAAAGGGAUACUUCUUCGGACAAUAUACAAGGUGCUGCAUGGUUGUCGUCAGCUCGUGCCGUGAGGUGUCGGGUUAAGUCCCAUAACGAGCGCAACCCUACCUUUAGUUGCCAUCAGGUAAUGCUGGGGACUCUAAAGGAACUGCCUACGCAAGUAGUGAGGAAGGCGGGGAUGACGUCAAAUCAGCACGGCCCUUACGUCCAGGGCUACACACGUGCUACAAUGGCCGAUACAGAGGGCAGCUACCUGGUGACAGGAUGCAAAUCUCCAAAGUCGGUCUCAGUUCGGAUCGGAGUCUGCAACCCGACUCCGUGAAGUUGGAUUCGCUAGUAAUCGCGCAUCAGCCAUGGCGCGGUGAAUACGUUCCCGGGCCUU